CGCUUAGCUAUCUCAGCCUGAAAAACCCUCAACUUCUCAGGCCACAACGAAUUAACUAUAGGUCUGCCAAUCAACUUGGACAAGAAAAAGCAGGAAGAGGCCCCAGCAGUGGCAUUGAAAACAACUAAAAAAAGUCCUCUAACAACACCAAAAAGAGCUCCCGCAAGCAAUGACAUGAAAAUUGUUCCAGGAAUCAUAAAAGUCUGCAUGAAGAUAUAUGUAGAGCAGUAACCCAGGAUGAACUGUGCUGGGUAAUCUUUUGCAUAUGUCCCAAGAUGGUCUUUGAGCAAGCGAAGAUCUGAAACGGUGCGAGGCAGCUUGAGGUUGACAUAGACAGAAGUGGGCAUUCCCAAGUAGAUGCAAAACAAACCGGAGGAGAAGACGACGAGGACCCCAAGAGCAGCAGUGAAUUCCCAUCUGGUAAAAGGGAACCUCUCCAACUUGGGCUUCUUAGCGGAAGGCGAAUCCUCCUGUUUGGCCUUCUCUUCGUCCCUCAUUUUUGGCCUAAUGCUUCCCGUAUUUCUGAUCAGAUUCCUCGCCGCAGGCAUCAAACUCUGAAGAAGGAUUCACUCAUGGGAAGAAGCAUUGUGUAGAAUUGGACCCAUUUCUCAAUUAUAAUUUGUUGAAAAAAAAAAAUCAAUUUAAAUCACAAAAACUGUAAAGAAUUCAGAUUUAAGAAAUUUGGGAUUCAGAGACUUUUG
RNAcentral lists this unclassified non-coding RNA (701 nucleotides) under Hevea brasiliensis (rubber tree). The record is from RNAcentral. Lineage: Eukaryota; Viridiplantae; Streptophyta; Magnoliopsida; Malpighiales; Euphorbiaceae.